RNAcentral lists this ribosomal RNA (520 nucleotides) under Meyerozyma guilliermondii. RNAcentral's name for it is "eukaryotic LSU rRNA". It matches the Rfam family "Eukaryotic large subunit ribosomal RNA", at positions 62 to 587 of the family's 3401-position model. Lineage: Eukaryota; Fungi; Ascomycota; Pichiomycetes; Serinales; Debaryomycetaceae. The record is from RNAcentral.
AAACCAACAGGGAUUGCCUUAGUAGCGGCGAGUGAAGCGGCAAAAGCUCAAAUUUGAAAUCUGGCGCCUUCGGUGUCCGAGUUGUAAUUUGAAGAUUGUAACCUUGGGGUUGGCUCUUGUCUAUGUUUCUUGGAACAGGACGUCACAGAGGGUGAGAAUCCCGUGCGAUGAGAUGCCCAAUUCUAUGUAAGGUGCUUUCGAAGAGUCGAGUUGUUUGGGAAUGCAGCUCUAAGUGGGUGGUAAAUUCCAUCUAAAGCUAAAUAUUGGCGAGAGACCGAUAGCGAACAAGUACAGUGAUGGAAAGAUGAAAAGAACUUUGAAAAGAGAGUGAAAAAGUACGUGAAAUUGUUGAAAGGGAAGGGUUUGAGAUCAGACUCGAUAUUUUGUGAGCCUUGCCUUCGUGGCGGGGUGACCCGCAGCUUAUCGGGCCAGCAUCGGUUUGGGCGGUAGGAUAAAUGGCGUAGGAAAUGUGACUUUACUUCGGUGAAAGUGUUAUAGCCUGCGUUGAUGCUGCCUGCCU